GUCGUAACAAGGCCUCCGUAGGUGAACCUGCGGAGGGAUCAUUACACAAAUAUGAAGGCGGGCUGGAACCUCUCGGGGUUACAGCCUUGCUGAAUUAUUCACCCUUGUCUUUUGCGUACUUCUUGUUUCCUUGGUGGGUUCGCCCACCACUAGGACAAACAUAAACCUUUUGUAAUUGCAAUCAGCGUCAGUAACAAAUUAAUAAUUACAACUUUCAACAACGGAUCUCUUGGUUCUGGCAUCGAUGAAGAACGCAGCGAAAUGCGAUAAGUAGCGUGAAUUGCAGAAUUCAGUGAAUCAUCGAAUCUUUGAACGCACAUUGCGCCCUUUGGUAUUCCAAAGGGCAUGCCUGUUCGAGCGUCAUUUGUACCCUCAAGCUUUGCUUGGUGUUGGGCGUCUUGUCUCUAGCUUUGCUGGAGACUCGCCUUAAAGUAAUUGGCAGCCGGCCUACUGGUUUCGGAGCGCAGCACAAGUCGCACUCUCUAUCAGCAAAGGUCUAGCAUCCAUUAAGCCUUUUUUUCAACUUUUGACCUCGGAUCAGGUAGGGAUACCCGCUGAACUUAAGCAUAUCA
RNAcentral lists this ribosomal RNA (572 nucleotides) under uncultured fungus. Its description in RNAcentral is "eukaryotic LSU rRNA". The stretch from base 210 to 363 matches the Rfam family "5.8S ribosomal RNA". Lineage: Eukaryota; Fungi. The record is from RNAcentral.